CUAAAAAGUCAUUAUGGCAUUAUUAACUUCGUAAUCAGAAUUAGGGUUUGUGAGGAAGGAGGUUGAUCAGAAUUAAUUAAUGCAGCUGGUUGAUCUCAGAUGCUUAUGCUCUUCGAGGUUUUGUUCUUCUUCUUCUUUGCCUUUUUUUUUUCAAUUCUUUAAUUUUAUUUGAUGAAUAGUUGAUGAAAUAGCCGUCAACAUUACAAUCUGGAGGAAACGCAGGGACUCUCUCUCUCGUUUGAUGAUUUCGUGGGUUAAUUGAUUCAUCAGGUGCAACUUUUCCUGUGUGGCUUGUAGGCCUCAAAUCAACCGGUUCUAAGCCUUGAAAAAGGAGGCGGCAAAGUGUUUAAGGAAUGUUGCUUCUCCUGUUCACUUAAAGCUGUUGGUGAGUUUUUUCUGCUAGCUUUAAGGACGGUGUUCGUCUUUCUGUUCAGCUUGAUAAUUAUAGAUCUGAUUGGUGAAGGCAUGGAAUUUAGCACUUCUUGAUUGCGUUUGGAGUUCUUUUGGGGGCCCGCAGGUACAUUUUGUUCAUACAUUCUCUUGUUAUUAAUUGGGGAGGUGAUGCGUUCUGGAAAUUUGAGCAAUGCAUGGGCAUUGGUUUGGACAUGCUGCUGCUUCACAUCUUCUUUUUUUUAAUUAAUACCUGCCAGUGUUUCUAUUGAUUUUACUAUUGCUCUCUCCUGUGGAGGUUCUUAAUGUUUCUAUUGAUUUUACUAUUGCUCUCUCCUGUGGAGGUUCUUACCCAGGUGUGAUCUGAGUUGUUAUGAAUGCAUGUGUGGGCGACUCAGAUUUUGAAUGCAAUUGCUCUUAGCUGUUUUAUUUGGUGCCAGAUUUCUUACUAUAAUUUCAGUGAGUCCAGAGUCCAAUAUUUAUUUGGAGGUUCCAUUAGACUGGUGUAUUUUGAAGGUAUCUUAAUCGAGUACUAUUAAAAUUCUUCUUCCAAUCAUACAUGGUGCUUUACUUCCUCCAGAAGUUCUUCAAAUUCGUAUGAGCUUUUAUCAAUCACAACUCUGUAGUUGUUGAAGUCAGAUGCGAUAGUUACAUUGCGCCUCCUACUUUUGGUCUUUUUGUUGUUUAUCACGGCUUGAUUGUUGUUGAAUAAAGUGCGUGGGUCUAAUAAAGUUAGUUAUUAUAGUUUUCUUUGGUUGUAACGACAUUGUUCGUCUGAGGUGCUUCUGGUUCUUCAUUAUGGUGCAGAUCUUGUCUGCUACUGCAAAAUCAGGUGAUUCUCUCUCGGGUCUUUUUAUGUAAUAAUUUCCUAGAUGCAUAGUUGUCAAUGCCGAAUUGUCAAUGCUGAGUUGGGCCUGCAUGGAGAACUUGAGGGGAUUGAUCAAGGUUCCUCACUUAUUGCUCGAUCCAGAACCUAUUGGGAUAGCACCUUUUCCUCUUAUUAGUAGGCCAUCUUUCCCGUUCAGUUCCUCUCCGGGGCAUAGCAGGAUGAACCAAUGUGAAUGAGUGUAAGCUUCGUUGUCCGAACACGAUUGGUGCUGACCACACUAGGUGCUACCGUGGUAGCAAGAGAGGCCAGGCGGUGACAAUUGAGAGGUUGUCACUGAGCAUUCGUAGACACGGGAAAAGAGGUCAAAUGGCAAGGCAAGGCCAUAUGCUCGUUUGGCUCCUCGCGGAGUAUUAGCUCACAUCCAAACAUCUGAUUGGGGAACGGGGCAAGGUAGUUGUGGUCUGGUUUUAGUUUUGUGUUAGAUCUUAAUGCCCCUACCCCUUCUACAGGGAUACCCUACUUUCCGGUCCAGCUUCACUGAACUUCUCAGAUUUAGAAACCUGAUCUACUUUCUCAUCAGCCUUCUUUUCCGUUUUCGGUUAGACCUGGUUGUGGUUCUCUAUUAUUAUGUUCAAUCUGUUGCUGUAGUGAAUCCAUCUGGAUUGGGAGAUUCAAUGAUGCCUCCAGGUCCUUAGAAUAUGUAUUUCUUGGUAAGAGGUUCGAGUCGUGUGAUUAUUUCCGUUUUUCUUGAUGGCAAUGAUUAACAAUCUUACUAAUGUGAUAGUGUGGGACAUGAUGCAACUUCAUAUUACUGAGAUUAUGACUCUAGAUAGGAAGGAAUGUGGAGGUCGCAUAUUAUGGUAGAGGGAUAGUAGAGGUGGAGGGGUGUCUUGCCUUGCAAAGGUUUAGGCUUGUUUGUACCUGUCAUAGUGUCGUACCCUCGUAGUUCUUGCCAUAUGUUGUUUAUUGUGUUUUCGAUUAUCACACUUUAUUGUUGUUGCUAGUGUUUCUUUCUUAGAGACUUUGCACUGCUUUUCUUAUUAAUGACUAUGCUUUCUUUAUUCUUUUCUUUUUUUACUUGGAUUUGAUGCACUUGAGCCGAGAAUCUUUUGGAAACAUCCUCUCUAUCUCCGCGAGGUUGUGAUAAGGUUUGGUAUACUCUAUCCUCCCCAGAUCCCACUUAGAGGGAUUUCACUGGGUAUGUUGUUGUUGUACAAAUAGAUAGUAAUAAUCUGUUCCAAGCUUGUAAAAAAUAUCUCUUCCGCCUCUUAGUGAAACCCAUCUUAUGGUGUUCAGAGCAAUAAAUAUGUUUUUUUCUAUUCUUCUUACAUAUUCAGAAACAAUGCAAAACUGUGUUUAACCAUUUGACCCACCACCUACCCUGCCCUAGUAUGGAUUAGCAAUAGAAAUUAUUUACCCGCCCUACCUCGACCCGUUAAGGCUUUAACCUGCCUCAAUUGCCAUCCCUGCCUUAAGGUGUGUUUGGAAUUGGGGAAAAUGACUUCCAGGAAAAUGUUUUUGAUGUGAAAGUCAUUUAUUGGUGUUUUGGUACGACAAAGGUCAUUUUCUCAUGGAAAGGAGGAAUAUGACUUUCCUCACUUAUGGGUAGAAGUCAUUUUCCGAGAUUACCUUAAACUACUUUGAACUUCAUAUCCAUUACUUCAACAAAUACUUAAGACAUUAUAUUGAUAUCUUGUAUUCACAGGAUUUAUCUAAGCACACUCCAAUUUGUUGGUAUUAUUGUUGAUCUUACGUAUUUAGCUCCCCUCUGUGCAUGAAGACAAAUUUACUUGUUUUUACAAUUUUUUUUCUUUCCAAACAGCGUUUUUGGACUACUUAAUGAAAAAUAAUUUGAAGACGAGUUCAAAUAUGAGAAAGUGGUUUUGACCGGUUUUUCAAGUUCACUACCAAAUUUUUAACAGUUUUUCAAGUUAAAUGCACGUCCAAACUCAACUCAAUUUUGAAAUAUGUUUUUUUCAACUAUUCUUCAAAUACAACUUUUGUGCAAUAUCACAUUUUUAUGUCCGAACGGCUACUUAUUUUUCAUAAAAAAUGACUUCCAUCAUAUAACACAACCAAGAUGUACUGCAUUUUCCUCAUCUUGUGGUGGUUGGUGUCCUGUUAAUGAUGUACUAUAUUUUCCUUAGUGCAAACGUAACAGUUUCUCAAAAUAAAAAGGGAAUCCUCCUCUUGAGGUUUGUAAUCUAUCUUUUCUUGUCAUUUCGUUCUUGAACGUUCUUAGCUGUUCUUGUAACUGUGAACUGGCAAGUGGUCAUUUAGUUUGUUAAUCUAUUUGAUCUAGUCUAUAACGAGGAUACCACGGUGUUAAUCUCGGAGGGAGAGUAGGUGGGUAGGUUGGUUGUGGAUUCAGCCUCUGACCAGUUGUGAAUUCAGUUGCAUCAGGGACUAUAGUUCUAAGCAUGAGUCUUUUGGUAGCUGUGGUGGUUUGGAUAUCUUUAUCCUUCUAUUUGUAAUUCGUUCCAAUUGGUUUUGGUAUUAUGGUACUGCAUUUGUGAUAUGGGUAUAUAUUUAGGGAAUUAGCAUUUUGGGUAGGAUCCUUCAAUUUUUCUAUGCCUUGUUGUUCAUAAGAAAUAAAGGCAGUUUUAGUAUUUGGCUUUUGCUGAUGCUCUGCAUUUAUGGUGAUUAAGUGGCUUCAGGAAUCUUGUCAUGUUAUCUUGUUCAGAUGUGUUGGAAAUGCUAUUAUGUUUGAGAAAUUUUUCCGUCUUUAUGUGCAAUCUCUUUGGCCUUUUAUGGGGCUUCAAGUUGAUUUUUUUGUGCAUUAUGGGAUGUAGAUUAGAUAUUUUCAAACACUUUUUAUUAUUCAGUAUAGAGAACUAUAGUUCCGUGUGGGGGAUGAAAAUGAGAAUAUGCAUUCAGGUUCUGGGUGCAUUUUGAGUUCUCUUGGUUGACAGAUCCUACUGUGUUAGGCUUGAUUCCUUGUCUUACCUUUGACACUGCAUUUACCUUGCCUGUUUUUGGUUUCACCGGGUUAUUAUUGUAGGUGCGACUAUGUGUAUGAAGGUAAAUGUUUGGUUGCUGCAAGUUAUACUGUGAUAUUCUUAGCGAUAACGGAGCAAGAUUUAUUAGUGUAUCUUUUGGUGUUUGUGUCCGCAAAAAAUUAGUACGUUUACUCAUAUUGGUGUCCUUUGGCUGAAGAUAUCUGAUAUUUUCCCUGCAAGUUGAAGCUUCCUUGAGACUGCUUGUAACAUGAAGGUUCUCAACUGGCACUGCUCUCUGUUUCUCUAGAGUCUCGUGCUGCUAUAUUCAUCCACAUGCUUAUGUUCUUAGCACUACCAGAGGCGGCCUUCUUUUUGGGGGAUGGUGUAAGCCUAAUCUAAUAAUGUUAUUUGGUGCUCUGGUAUGUGUUAUUUGUUCAGUCUGCUUCUACAUUAUUUUGUUUGUAAUAACACCAAAGAAAGGGGUCUGUGCACCAAUAUCUGCUAUAGAAGGAUUGAGCCAUAACAGAUGAGAAGCAAUCCAACUUCAUUUGCAUUUUAAGGAGACACUUUCUGUAAUGAUGUUGGGGAUGUUCAUCUCCAGUUCUGAGGUGGGUGUUUUUUGUGCUCCCAUUGUAAGUCUUUCCGGCUUAUAGAAAAAGGAGGUUGUCUGGUCUCUUAUACGUGAUGCUUCAGUCCCCUUUGUUCUGUCAUUUGGUGGUGUUCUCCCGCAUUGCAGAUGGUAGAAUCUUUGGACUCUUUUCACCUCUAUUAAUCUGUAAUCAUAUGUUUUUGCUUAUUCUCUGGCUUGUCUAGUCUUGGUAAAUGUUGGUGGAAUUUUUGCCACUUGAUUAAUUGGGGUUAUUUUCAGUCUUAUUACAGUAGAUAUUAUUGCUGAAUAUGGGUCUCGGAGAAUUUUGAGGAAUAUAGGGGUGCAAUUUCAGAGCAAUCCUGCAUCUGUUUGUCUGUUCAUGAGAACACAAAUACUUGGCAAUGAUAAGUAGAGCUAAUUUCUCUCUCCUCUUUCACUUAAGGUAUCCUUCUACUUUCCAUAUUUAGCAAUCAAGAAUUAGAACACAAAUACUUGGUAAUAAAAAGUAGAGCUAAUUUCUAUCUCCUCUUUCCCUUGACGUAUCCUGUUGUUACUUUCCAUAUUUAGCAAUCAAGAAUGCAAGAAUUCUCUACACUUUCAAGGCUGUUUCUGUGGCUUUUGCGUGUCAGGGUUUAAGGUUUAUAGUCUCCAUCCCGCCUUUUCUUUGAAUUCUGGCUAGGUCUGAGAUGCUCCUUUGAAUAUGUAUGAUGACAUGCAGUUCCUUAAGGGAUACGGGUUGUUAUCCUCCUUUCUUCCAUGAUUUUGUCUAUGUGAAAAAGUUGUUAGGUUUUGGUUUGCACGCAGCUUGCUUAGGUCUUCAUUUGCUUCCAGGUGUUAUCCGAUACCAUUUCUCCUAGUUGAUCAAUCUUGAUGUUGCCUUUCUUUGUUCUGUAUUUGUCUAUUAUUUUUCAGGUUUAGAUCUUGGGCAGUGUGGUGUGUGGUUGGUAUUGUCUGGGCUAUUAUGUUGUUAGAUUGGACUUUGAUGAGAUAGAUGCUAGUAUUUGCUCUGGGUACAAGUUCUUGGCCUUUUCCUUUCCAUGGAGAAAUUCAGUUUUGCAUGUUACUUUAUUGCCUUCAUUACUUGUUGUCCAAGUGUGUAUCUCCUAUAUUUUGUUAGGAGGCUUGAUAAUUCUAUGGUCUUCUAUGUUUGUCCUGGGAUUAUUGGUAGAGCUGCAUUUUGUUUUGUUUUGUAGCUCAAUAGUCAUAGGUAUGGCAUACUGGGUGCAAUAUUUUUGUGUGGGGGACCCUUGUAACUCCGCCUGUCAAAUCAGCCGGUCCCAAACCCGGAAAAAGGAGGAGGGCAAGUAUCGAUGGUGAGGAGGUAAUCAUUAGUUUCUUCCUCCUCGCUGGUUUGUGAGUUUCUUGCUAAUUUAAGUAGUAAAGGUCUUUUAUGUUUGCCCUAAUAUCAUUUGUGGAGUGUAAUUUUAUUUUCAUCUCACUCAAUAAUAACAAAAGUGGGUUCAGGUGCAACUUUUCCUGUGUGGCUAGUAGGCCUCAAAUCAGCUGGUUCUAAGUCUUGAAAAAGGAGAGGGCAAAGUGUUUUAAGGAAUGUUGCUUCUCCUGUGCACUUAAAGCUAUUGGUUAGUUUUUUCUGCUAGCUUUUAGGGACGGUGUUCGUCAUUCUCAACAAGUUAUGCGUUCACUUGUUUUGAAAGACUAAUUUCAUAUGCAAAUUGUGUCCACCUAAAAUACUAGCAAAUGAACUACAGGAUUUUGAGAGCAAUGCCUAAUUAGUUUUGCCAGGGUUGUGCUUUUGCAGGGUUAGCUGUGUGUGACUCAUUGUAUUAGAAGAGGUGUCAGUGGAUGAAAAAGAAUUUUUGAAGGCGACAAAAGUGCAGAAGUAGCUUUUGGCCGCUUUGCUGAUGUUUUCCGAGUCAAUGUCAACAGAAGUUGAAGGUCUGGAUUGGAGGUAACAAAUCGGACUUCUGCUAACGACCAGCACCGUCUCCAAUGCGCGAGGAUGAACACGAGGGGAGCUCAAUCCAGAGGGUGCGAAAUCUCCAUGAGUCAUACUUGGGAUUGAAGUGAACAGGUAUCAAAUAUAGAUGAAAUACUAGCUUGGUUACUGUUUAGAGGACAAACCUGAUUGUUGGGACAAGUUCAAUAUAUAUUAUUUUCCUUUAUUAGUAGACAUGUAUAGUCACAUUGUAAUUAUUCCACUAAAACGAAUCACUUCAUCCUAUUAUAUGCCACUGCAUAUCAAGUCGGCAUGAAACGUCAAUUCUUAAUUAAUAAUCUUUCUUUUG
Molecule: long non-coding RNA, 6993 nt
Organism: Solanum dulcamara
Lineage: Eukaryota; Viridiplantae; Streptophyta; Magnoliopsida; Solanales; Solanaceae
Exons: 3
Source: RefSeq, a predicted model, not a curated record